AGCGAACGCUGGCGGUAGGCUUAACACAUGCAAGUCGAACGGCAGCACAGUAAGAGCUUGCUCUUACGGGUGGCGAGUGGCGGACGGGUGAGGAAUACAUCGGAAUCUACUUUUUCGUGGGGGAUAACGUAGGGAAACUUACGCUAAUACCGCAUCUGCCCCACGGGUGAAAGCAGGGGAUCUUUGGACCUUGUGCGAUUGAAUGAGCCGAUGUCGGAUUAGUUAGUUGGCGGGGUAAAGGCCCACCCAGGCGACGAUCCGUAGCUGGACUGAGAGGAUGAUCAGCCACACUAGAACUGAGACACGGUCCAGACGCCUGCGGUACGGAGCAGUGGGGAAUAUUGGACAGUAGGCGCAAGCCUGAUCCAGCCAUACCGCGUGUGUGGAGGAGGCCUUCGGGUUGUAAAGCCCGUUUGUUGGGAAAGAAAAGCAGCAGGUUGAUACCCCGCUGUUCUGACGGUACCCAAAGAAUAAGCACCGGCUAACUUCGUG
RNAcentral lists this ribosomal RNA (492 nucleotides) under uncultured bacterium. RNAcentral's name for it is "partial 16S ribosomal RNA". It matches the Rfam family "Bacterial small subunit ribosomal RNA", at positions 29 to 507 of the family's 1533-position model. The record is from RNAcentral.